Molecule: ribosomal RNA, 429 nt
Filed under: Acidobacteriota bacterium
Lineage: Bacteria; Pseudomonadati; Acidobacteriota
Description: Acidobacteria bacterium partial 16S ribosomal RNA
Rfam family: Bacterial small subunit ribosomal RNA
Source: RNAcentral
UGGGGAAUUUUGGACAAUGGGGGAAACCCUGAUCCAGCCAUCCCGCGUGUGCGAUGAAGGCCUUCGGGUUGUAAAGCACUUUUGGCAGGAAAGAAACGUCAUGGGUUAAUACCCCGUGAAACUGACGUUACCUGCAGAAUAAGCACCGGCUAACUACGUGCCAGCAGCCGCGGUAAUACGUAGGGUGCAAGCGUUAAUCGGAAUUACUGGGCGUAAAGCGUGCGCAGGCGGUUCGGAAAGAAAGAUGUGAAAUCCCAGAGCUCAACUUUGGAACUGCAUUUAUAACUACCGCGCGAGAGUGUGUCAGAGGGAGGUGGAAUUCCGCGUGUAGCAGUGAAAUGCAUAGAUAUGCGGAGGAACACGGAUGGCGAAGGCAGCCUCCUGGCAUAACUCUGACGCUCAUGCACGAAAGCGUGGGGAGCAAACAGG